Molecule: unclassified non-coding RNA, 232 nt
Filed under: Hevea brasiliensis (rubber tree)
Lineage: Eukaryota; Viridiplantae; Streptophyta; Magnoliopsida; Malpighiales; Euphorbiaceae
Source: RNAcentral
GGAUCGGGGACUGAAUUUAAAUAUUUGUUGUUUACUGAGAAUAUCUGAUAUUGUGAGCGUUUGUUCAUGGUGAUUGCCAAUUCAACUCCCCAAAAACCAAUUUUUACUAAGCUUAGCUCUACGCAUGCGUUUCAGACGGCAAAAAGCUGGUUUUGACCAGAAACUGCUUUGGAGUAACCAAACAAAUCGAUGAGCUUUUGUUUGGAGUUAGAUUUUUCAAGAUGAGCUUUUU